Molecule: long non-coding RNA, 1566 nt
Organism: Chrysolophus pictus (golden pheasant)
Lineage: Eukaryota; Metazoa; Chordata; Aves; Galliformes; Phasianidae
Source: Ensembl
AUGCUGCAAGGUUUGCAUGCCCCGGGAUGCAACGGGGAGGUUUCUGCAUGCAUGCAAGCACGCAUCAGGAGGAUGCUCUUUGCAAGCACCGGGGGAUUUUUGCACACAUGCAUGCACCAGGAGACUUUUUGCAAGCAUGGGUGCAAUUCAGAAGGCUUGCAUGCACGCAUGCAUGCACCAGGAGACUUUUUGCAAGCAUGGGUGCAAUUCAGAAGGCUUGCAUGCACGCAUGCAUGCACCAGGAGACUUUUUGCAAGCAUGGGUGCAAUUCAGAAGGCUUGCAUGCACGCAUGCAUGCACCAGGAGACUUUUUGCAAGCAUGGGUGCAAUUCAGAAGGCUUGCAUGCACGCAUGCAUGCACCAGGAGACUUUUUGCAAGCAUGGGUGCAAUUCAGAAGGCUUGCAUGCACGCAUGCAUGCACCAGGAGACUUUUUGCAAGCAUGGGUGCAAUUCAGAAGGCUUGCAUGCACGCAUGCAUGCACCAGGAGACUUUUUGCAAGCAUGGGUGCAAUUCAGAAGGCUUGCAUGCACGCAUGCAUGCACCAGGAGACUUUUUGCAAGCAUGGGUGCAAUUCAGAAGGCUUGCAUGCACGCAUGCAUGCACCAGGAGACUUUUUGCAAGCAUGGGUGCAAUUCAGAAGGCUUGCAUGCACGCAUGCAUGCACCAGGAGACUUUUUGCAAGCAUGGGUGCAAUUCAGAAGGCUUGCAUGCACGCAUGCAUGCACCAGGAGACUUUUUGCAAGCAUGGGUGCAAUUCAGAAGGCUUGCAUGCACGCAUGCAUGCACCAGGAGACUUUUUGCAAGCAUGGGUGCAAUUCAGAAGGCUUGCAUGCACGCAUGCAUGCACCAGGAGACUUUUUGCAAGCAUGGGUGCAAUUCAGAAGGCUUGCAUGCACGCAUGCAUGCACCAGGAGACUUUUUGCAAGCAUGGGUGCAAUUCAGAAGGCUUGCAUGCACGCAUGCAUGCACCAGGAGACUUUUUGCAAGCAUGGGUGCAAUUCAGAAGGCUUGCAUGCACGCAUGCAUGCACCAGGAGACUUUUUGCAAGCAUGGGUGCAAUUCAGAAGGCUUGCAUGCACGCAUGCAUGCACCAGGAGACUUUUUGCAAGCAUGGGUGCAAUUCAGAAGGCUUGCAUGCACGCAUGCAUGCACCAGGAGACUUUUUGCAAGCAUGGGUGCAAUUCAGAAGGCUUGCAUGCACGCAUGCAUGCACCAUGAGACUUCUUGCCAGCAUGGGUGCAAUGGAGAGAUUCUACACGCACACAUGCAUGCAGCAGGGGAUUUUUGCACACGUGCCCUGCAGACCUUGCCCCAAGCGUUGCUCCUGACUCACCAUCACCUCCCAGCGCCGUCCUUGUUCCAUGCUGACCGUGUGCCCAUAGAUGCUCACUAUCACCUUCUUCACCAGCGCCACGUCGCCCCGUCCCCCUCCGUCGUGCUCCAGCAGCACCGAGAAGUUGGCCAAGCCACGCUCAGGUUUGCAGACUUUGGCCAGCACGUAGCUGCAGGAACCUCGCAGGUCGAAAGCUCUACCAUCAAACGUCACGUAGUGGGGGUCUCCUGA